UUUUUUGUGUAUCUUUGUUGUCCUGUUCCACAAUUCUAGCAUCAAGUUGAUCGGUGGGUGGGUUCAUGUCACUCUAAUUUAACAUGCAAACUAUUUAUUUACCUAAUUUUAUUGCAAGGACUAAAUAUUAGAAACACAUUUACACUAUUUUUUCCCAUACAUAAUAUUGAUCAAGUUCUUUAUCUAAUAUGAAUCAUAUAUAACAAGCAAGCUAUCUAUCCAUCAAAUUCUAACUCAAAAAUAUAUAGAAAUAAAUAAUCCUCUCCAUUCUCCCUCAUUCUAAAAAACUCAUUUUUCUCUAUCUCUAAAGUAUAAAACAAAGCAUUAUAACAAUAAAUGAAGGGAGGAUGGAGUAGCUAACCUUUACAACACUUCGAACGAGUGAAAUCCCCAUGAAAAUAAGAAAAAAAAAUCAGGCAGCACCUCCCUAAGCUUGCUUGCUCGCCAUGGAGAAAGAACCCGAGCUCUCAGUCUGAUGAGUGGCUCGGGUUCGGCGAGGAAGAAGAAGAUUUUUAUAGGGCAGGUGUUUAGUCCCGGUUGGAAAAACCAACCGAGACUAAAUCCCGAUUAGUAACACCAACCGGGACUAAAUGAGAGGCCUUUAGUCCCGGUUGGUUUUUCCAACCGAGACUAAAUGCU
RNAcentral lists this long non-coding RNA (639 nucleotides) under Setaria viridis. RNAcentral describes it as "long non-coding RNA (SVIR_LNC009496)". The record is from RNAcentral. Lineage: Eukaryota; Viridiplantae; Streptophyta; Magnoliopsida; Poales; Poaceae.